UACGUAGGGGGCAAGCGUUGUCCGGAUUUAUUGGGCGUAAAGAGCGUGUAGGCGGCCAUACAGGUCCGUUGUGAAAACUGGAGGCUUAACCUCCAGACGUCGAUGGAAACCGUAUGGCUAGAGUGCGGAAGAGGAGAGUGGAAUUCCUGGUGUAGCGGUGAAAUGCGCAGAUAUCAGGAAGAACACCCGUGGCGAAGGCGGCUCUCUGGGACGGUACUGACGCUGAGACGCGAAAGCGUGGGGAGCGAACAGG
RNAcentral lists this ribosomal RNA (253 nucleotides) under uncultured bacterium. RNAcentral describes it as "partial 16S ribosomal RNA". It matches the Rfam family "Bacterial small subunit ribosomal RNA", at positions 524 to 776 of the family's 1533-position model. The record is from RNAcentral.